GCGGGGUGGAGCAGUGGUAGCUCGUCGGGCUCAUAACCCGAAGGUCACAGGUUCAAGUCCUGUCCCCGC
This 69-nucleotide transfer RNA is filed under the name Lysinibacillus sp. S2017. RNAcentral describes it as "tRNA-Met". It matches the Rfam family "tRNA". From Rfam's summary of the family: Transfer RNA (tRNA) molecules are approximately 80 nucleotides in length. Lineage: Bacteria; Bacillati; Bacillota; Bacilli; Caryophanales; Bacillaceae. The record is from RNAcentral.